AUGAGAGGCCCUGUAGAGCUCCCUCACCCUUCCACUGGGACUGGGAAGAGGGCCCUCAUGGGACCGUGCUGGCCCCCUGCUGUCACACAUCCAGCCUCCAGAAGUGUGAGAAUAAACGCCUAUUGUUUGUAAGCCCCCCAGUCGGUGGGAUUUCCUUGUAGCAGCCUGAAGGAACCAAGACCCUCACCUAGGAGCUGUUUGUGCAGACAGCUGACAUGGCCCCGCCAUCUUAGGAACAGAGAUAAAGUAAAGAGUAUGUCACAAAAACGAACAGCUUCGCCGUGGAGAAACCCGGCAGACGGCACCUUCGUCCAGCGAUCAAAGUUAACACCCCCAAUCAUGGUACAAGCCAACGUCAUGAGCCUCCUGAUUCGAGACACCGAGAAGGUCACAGCAUCCCUCAUGCAGCAUUCCUGCCAAAAAGGCAAAGCCCAAAUCCAAUCACGAGGAAACACCAGACAGACCUAACUCAAGGGAAAUUCCACAGAACAACUGGCCCGUCGCCUUCAAAAAUAUUAGUGUCCUGGAAGACCGAGGGAGGCUGAGGAAGUUCUAAACUCAAAGACACUGAAGGGACAUAACGUCUACAUGGGACGCGUGCUCCUGGAUCGCAACCUGGACCGGAAGGAAAAUUUGUUAGAAGGACAUUAUCAGGCCGAUAGGCAACAUUCGAAUGAGAUUUGUAGAUUAGAUAGCAGUUUUGUAGCAACGGGAACCUUCCUAGUACUGGUAAUUGUACAGUGACUGUGCUGGGGAACGUCCUUGUUUUUAGUAAAUGCACACCGAGUAUCCGGGAGCAAAAAGGCGUUGUAUUCGCGACUUGCUCUCGGGGGUUUAGAAGAUACAUAUAGAGAGAAUGAUAAAGCAAAUGUAGCAAAGUAUUAACAGUUGAUGAAUCUGGGUGCAGGGUACACAGGAAUUCUUCACUGUGUUUUUGCAACUUUUCUGUAAGCCACCUCGUUAUCAUAAACAAUCAGACAUUGUCCAAGGGGCGCACCAGGAAUAACAAAGACCGUGCAACCACUUGGGAAACACCAAGGGUUUAGAGGCUACCUCGCAGGAACCAGGAACCAGGGACCAAGGCCAGCCACAUUAUUAUGCAAACCGGAUCCAGUAUUCUAGCUAGAAAAGUAAGGCAUUUAUGCAAAUAGAGCCUGAGAGUACAAAAUAUACUAUUCAAACAUUAAAAUACCUCCUCCUGGCCCAAACUAAAAUUGUGUCCCAGUCUAUAAAUAGAAAAAUAGAAAGAGUUAAGUCCAAACAUGUGCUUUCUCUUCCUGCCAAGGACGACUGGUAGUUAAGAUAGAGUGUGUGUGUGUGUGUGUGUGUGUAUGUGUGUGUGCGCGCGCAGGGUGGGGGGGGGUGCGGCUUAUGUCUGGGACGCCAUUUUCGUGAAGGAGUCACUGUGGGUCUUUGGAAGCCAGGCACGCAGGUUCAAAUCUGAGAAAUGGAUUCAUGGAGGAUAAAACUAACCAAACGCACGGCCGUCACCGCCACCGCCACGGCCACGGCCACAACAGAAUCGGGUGCUGUUUACUUAGUGUCAGGCACACUUCCAGUACCAAUAAAUCAUCCUGGAGUUAGCAACACUACUCUCACACGACCGACGUUCAUAAACCACGGCAUCUGGCUCCGUUUCAUCCUAUAUAAUCUGCUUCCUGAGGUGUUUGAGCUCCCGCGCCUAAAAUCACGCCUCCAGGGCUAGGGGCCCACCGCGGAAAGUAAGGCACUUUGCUUUCUGCCCUUGGCUCUGCUGAGCAGCUGAAUGCCGCUGGGCAAGUCGCUUCCCCUCUCUGUGCUGGCUGUCAUCCACUGCAAAAUCCUGAUGCCAAUACCUAGUCCCUUUAUCUGCCCAAGGCCGCCUUCAGGAGAAAAUGACACACAAGAUGAAGAAACCGCAUCGACAAAGUUCACAAACACCAGACAAAUGUGACUCGCGUUACCUAAGGAAUUACCGGAACCCCAAACCAGAUCUACGGGCGGGCAAGGCUCUGAGCACCAGCCGCUGUCACAAAAUAGCACAGACCUAGCGGCUUAAACGACACACACGUUAUUUCUCACCGCCCUGGAGGCUGGGAAGUCGAAGAUCAGGGCGCAGGCACAUUUAGUUCCUGGGGAGAACCUGUUUCUCGUCUGGCUCACGGACAAGCUGCCGUCCUUCUCGGCAAGGAAGGUCUGUAGCCUUGGCGGUUCCCGUGACUGGGUCACCAAGACACCGCAGAUAUUUUUAUAUCUGUUCACCUUCUGCAGAUAUCUACACGCUCCUCACGACUUUGAAUUUAUGCCGGCCAGGGGACCGACCCACUACUGGAUUGUGUUAUUUAAUGCCUAAAGCAGCAUGUCUAUUACUCCCGCACAGUGUUUACACUUCUCUUGGUAACUGCAUGGAAAUACACUUGUUUUCGCUCU
Molecule: long non-coding RNA, 2409 nt
Organism: Lynx canadensis (Canada lynx)
Lineage: Eukaryota; Metazoa; Chordata; Mammalia; Carnivora; Felidae
Exons: 2
Source: RefSeq, a predicted model, not a curated record